RNAcentral lists this long non-coding RNA (358 nucleotides) under Homo sapiens (human). Its description in RNAcentral is "HSALNT0206452". Lineage: Eukaryota; Metazoa; Chordata; Mammalia; Primates; Hominidae. The record is from RNAcentral.
GGAGGGAACAAGAAAUAGUCUGCAAAUGGCAGCCGGUCUGCAGCUAAAUCUUCCUGUUGGCUUUAGAAGAAUAUUCCAAGGAAGAAGAAAAAUUUCACCUAGGUUUCUUCAUACUUUAACAGACUUACUGUGUUGAGAAGUAAUAUAUAAGAAACGUAAGGUGUUGCGGUGAGGAAGCUGUGAAACUAAAGAUGUUUGAGAGAGAGACAGUGGAAGAGAAAAAUCAUAUCCCUACAUCUGUUAAAUUAUUUCUAUGUCACUAGCUCUGAGCGCUACACACUGGUCAUAUAUCUAUCAGAAAAACAGGGAGCUCUAAACAAAAUUUAUCCUCAGGCACACUGCAUAAUAAAAAUGAGGU